CACAGAAACCCCAAGACUUCCGUCCCCUCCUGUCUUCCUCCUGUGGAGUCUGGCAUGGGGCUGGGCACUGUGUGCCCAGUGGGCGACGACACUUUGAGCAACGCCAAGGCCACAGGUCCAGGCUGCAGGGAAAAGCCUUCAUGUAUUAGCAGGAAGUGAAGGGAAUAAGAGAAUUGGACGUUCAUUCACUUCCCCAGAAGGAACUUCAGAGUCCAGGGAGUCCGUGGGCUUCCGGAAACGCAGUCCCUGCUGUUGUUCCAGGCAGAGUCUGAAUGAAGCUGGGUUUGCCCCUUCCUGGUAGCCCAGGCUCCAAGGCCCCACAGGAGGAUGACGGCGGCAUACCUGUAGCCCCUGGGGGGCAGCAGGCAGGUGGCCGAGGGGAGCUGGCACCCUGGUCUGGAUGUCUGGAGCCCCAGCGAGGGCCAUGAAGGCCUCUCUCCUGCUCGGCAGGGGCCCUCCGGCCGGCCUGCCUGGCUGCCAUCUGUCCCCACCUCCCGUGCCUCCUGGCCCUUCACACUGUCUGAAUGUGCACGGCAUCGGGUCUGGUCUUGUGUUGGAGCCUUCAGUCCAGGCCACAGACCUCCUUCCCGAACAGUCUCCUGCAUUCCCUUCAUGCAAUUUUGCUGAUAUUCUGGUGCACGGUGCUGGGGGGCCUGGCGGUGCUGGGGGCCUGGCGGUGCUGGCUCUGCUUUCUAACGGUCUCCCUCUUCCCUCCCAGACUGAUGUCCUCAAGUGUGUGGUCAGCACAGACCCUGGCCUCCGCUCCCACUGGCUGGUGGCUGCACUCUGCAGCUUCGGCCGCUUCCUGAAGGCUGCCUUCUUCGUGCUGCUGCCAGAGAGAUGAGCUGCCCACCUGGCAGUGGCCGCAGCCUGGCCCUCUGGGCCCAACGCAGGAGGCCCUCAG
This 904-nucleotide non-coding RNA is filed under the name Homo sapiens (human). The record is from RNAcentral. Lineage: Eukaryota; Metazoa; Chordata; Mammalia; Primates; Hominidae.